Molecule: long non-coding RNA, 763 nt
Organism: Phyllostomus hastatus (greater spear-nosed bat)
Lineage: Eukaryota; Metazoa; Chordata; Mammalia; Chiroptera; Phyllostomidae
Exons: 3
Source: RefSeq, a predicted model, not a curated record
UGAGGAUCGGUGCUCAGAGGAUUUGGAUGUUAGCCACCCCCUCUGGGCCCCCGGGUAAUAAAGUUCGUGCUUCAUUAUCUCCCCGCGUGUGGGUGGAUUUUCCACAACAUUUUGGUGCGGUGGCCGGGAAAUCCCUCAUGCGAGCAGGUAUUUUGCCUCCGGUGAUGGCGACUGGGGGAGUCGGCAGGGGAGCCCUGCCGCAGGGGAGGAGCACGUGCCCUGGUGAUUCCAGGCUUCCCGGGGCAGAGACUCCCGUGCUGCGUCCCCAACGGCUCUAACACCCGGACGGAGGGGAGAGACGAACCACGGACUGUCGGAGGCGCCAAUCAGCCAGGCAGUGAAGACUGGAGGAGGCGACCUGCGUCUUCAAAUACAAAGAUAGCAAUGCAGGCUUCAAGGCACAUGACAAAUCAAGGAAACAUGACACCACCAAAGGAACACAAUAAUUUUCCAGUAACUGACCCCAAAGAAAUGGAGACCUGUGGUCCUGAGUGUUCUCAGCACACACACAACAAGCUGCUGCAUUGUCAUCAGGAAACAGGAAAGUAAAACACAGACACUUGCAGAGACGCGCACACACAGAUCUGAUCGUGCCGUUCGCCUGCUUAGUCUCGAAAGCACUCACUGGCUUCCCAUUGCUUGUAAAGCCCAAGUUUCUAACCGUGUGAUCUGAGGCCCGCUCCACAUGGGCCCAGAGUACUCUUCUCAGCUCAUCCCCCAUGCUUCUCACAUCGGGAAAAUGGAGACAACUGUACUGAACAAC